RNAcentral lists this ribosomal RNA (406 nucleotides) under uncultured bacterium. RNAcentral describes it as "partial 16S ribosomal RNA". It matches the Rfam family "Bacterial small subunit ribosomal RNA", at positions 30 to 526 of the family's 1533-position model. The record is from RNAcentral.
AUUGAACGCUGGCGGCAUGCUUUACACAUGCAAGUCGGACGAGUGGCGAACGGGUGAGUAACGCCUCGGAACGUACCGACUACUGGGGGAUAACUGCCCGAAAGGACAGCUAAUACCGCAUAUUAUUCGAGCUGCCGAUGUGUGAUUAGCUGGUUGGUGGGGUAAAGGCCCACCAAAGCGACGAUCCGUAGCUGGUCUGAGCGGAUGAUCAGCCACACCGGGACUGAGACACGGCCCAGACUCCUACGGGAGGCAGCAGUGGGGAAUGUUGGACAAUGGGCGGUAGCCUGAUCCGGCCAUGCCGCGUGUAUGAAGAAGGCCUUGGGGUUGUAAUGUACUUUCAGCGGGGAGGCGUGACCCGCAGAAGAAGCACCGGCUAACUCCGUGCCAGCAGCCGCGGUAAUAC